GGUUCUUUUCAUGGAUGGCUUGCAUGAUCCAACAGGACAGGAAAGAAUGUCUGUAUGGGCCUUUCUUCUGGAAUUCCCAAUGUCAAGCCCCAUUCAAUUUCAUCCCUACAACAUAUGCCAUCUGUCUCAUCCAUCUCCAGGAUCAUCUACUAUCCAGCUGGAGCAAGACAGUUGAAAUUCCCCAAAGCAAGUGGAAAAACAAAGAGCCUCAGACAGCCACAUCCAACUCAUACUUAUGUGUCAGGGAAGCACACUGUGUGGUGUGUGUGUGUGUGUGUGUGUGUGUGUGUGUGUGUGUGUGUGUGUGUAACUGUUGAAUUAAAAGCUGUUGUUUAAGCAUAAGGACUAAGUGUUCUCAACAGUGACAUGCCCUCACACAUAAGUUACGUAUUUGUGAGUGAAUAGUUACUGAGACAUCACCAUACAGCUUUAUGAAUUCUGCAUGAGAGGGCUUGAAGCCUGCACCAGAACUGUCCAGCUCUGUUCCUCUCUGGCUUGUACCUAGGCUGCUG
Molecule: long non-coding RNA, 512 nt
Filed under: Fukomys damarensis (Damara mole-rat)
Lineage: Eukaryota; Metazoa; Chordata; Mammalia; Rodentia; Bathyergidae
Description: lncRNA (ENSFDAG00000025851.1)
Source: RNAcentral